This 737-nucleotide ribosomal RNA is filed under the name uncultured bacterium. Its description in RNAcentral is "bacterial SSU rRNA". It matches the Rfam family "Bacterial small subunit ribosomal RNA", at positions 49 to 789 of the family's 1533-position model. The record is from RNAcentral.
CUACCAUGCAGUCGAGCGAAGAGCUUAUUAUGAAAUCUUCGGAUGGAUUAAUAAAUUUCUUAGCGGCGGAUGGGUGAGUAACGCGUGAGGAACCUGCCUUCUACAAGGGGAUAGCCUCGGGAAACCGGGAUUAAUACCCUAUGACACUUUUUGGUCUCAUGAUUUUGAAGUCAAAGCGUUAGCGGUAGAAGAUGGCCUCGCGUCCCAUUAGCUAGUUGGUGAGGUAACGGCUCACCAAGGCUGCGAUGGGUAGCCGGCUUGAGAGAGUGAACGGCCACACUGGAACUGAGACACGGUCCAGACUCCUACGGGAGGCAGCAGUGGGGAAUAUUGCACAAUGGAGGGAACUCUGAUGCAGCGACGCCGCGUGAGCGAUGAAGGCCUUCGGGUCGUAAAGCUCUGUCCUAUGGGACGAUAAUGACGGUACCAUAGGAGGAAGCCCCGGCUAACUACGUGCCAGCAGCCGCGGUAAUACGUAGGGGGCGAGCGUUGUCCGGAUUUAUUGGGCGUAAAGGGUACGUAGGCGGCUAUGCAAGUCAGAUGUGAAAGAUCACGGCUUAACCGUGGUAAGCAUUUGAAACUGCGUAGCUUGAGUUAAGGAGAGGAAAGUGGAAUUCCUGGUGUAGCGGUGAAAUGCGUAGAUAUCAGGAGGAAUACCAGUGGCGAAGGCGACUUUCUGGACUUAUACUGACGCUGAGGUACGAAAGCGUGGGGAGCAAACAGGAUUAGAUACCCUG